Molecule: long non-coding RNA, 1095 nt
Organism: Equus caballus (horse)
Lineage: Eukaryota; Metazoa; Chordata; Mammalia; Perissodactyla; Equidae
Source: RefSeq, a predicted model, not a curated record
GUGGCUCCCCCUGCCGGCCGGGGGGCGUCGCCGCUCCGGAAGUGGGGGACGGUCCUUCCCAACCUCGAUGAAACAGCCUCCACCCUCUUUGGGGCUCAUAAUGAUGGAGCUUGAAGGAUGAUCAGAUUCAACAAGAGAUGACCCUUCAGUUUCCUGCCUAGAGGGUGCAGAUCUGGUUGUAAACGUUCUUGGAGCUGAAUGGAGGAAAAGGACUCAGGAUCUAAUGUGCACUUUGCACAGUGCAGAGACCCAAAAACACCUGUUCUUUGUCAGGUAAAGUUAUCCGACAGCCAGCAAGAGGAAGCAACUGGAGGUUGUGCUUCACUAAAAUGAGAGACUAAACAAAGAAAAAAGGAGACAUGGGAUAUAAGAAACAGAAGAUCUAACACAGGGGAAAAAUGAAGUAUGAUGCCCUGACAACAACUGUGCACUCGACAUCAAUUGGUGUAGGUCAGAAGGCUCCAGAAGAGACUCCUUCAGAAAGGUGAAACUGAUAGAACACCUCAUCUAUCUAAAUCUCUGGAGGGAGAGAUUUAAACAAUCAUUAAGAAGUUUGGGUUUGACUUAGUGGUGAAGAAUAAGCCAAAAUAAGAUAAUCAUUAACUGCAGGAAAAACAGAAAGCUGAGCAGAAGAGAAGGAAUCAUAGUAUACUACUUUUGCCCAACAUGUUGAGUAAUGUUUACCUGGUAAUGAUGAAGUAAACACAAAUCUUUUUUUUUUAAGUACUAGAUUGGACAGGUAAAGGGAUGGGAAGUGUGGUGGGGGUGGCGGAAGGGUUGGGAGAAGGAAGAAGAGCUAAAUCUUCAUUUUCCAUUAAGUGAAGUCAAUAGGUAAUGCCUAAAAGUGAAAAAUCAAGAAAUAGCAAUACAAACAUUUUAUAUGGAGAAAUGAAGGUAAAUACCAAAAUAACCAGUUGAAAGAGAUGAAAUGACUGCCUUUGAGGGGAGGGAACAAGGUAAGGGAAAGACUGGAGUCACAGUCUCUGCUGAUUCAUUGUAAAACUUAACAAGCCUUCUACAGAAUUAUUUGAUCCUAAAUCACAGGCAUGUAUAACUCUGAUAAAAAUAAAAAAUAAAAUUAAAGGAGUAAAAAGA